AAAUUAGGCAUAUAACUAAGCGGAGGAAAAGAAAUCAACAGAGAUUCCCCUAGUAACGGCGAGCGAACGGGGAAGAGCCCAUCGCCCAAUCCGACGUCCCCACGGGCGUUCCGGAAAUUUGGCGUAUAGGAGAGACGCUUCCGGGCACCGACUCCGAAUCAAGUCCCCCUGACUGGGGCUCCCACCCCGAGAGGGUGCAAGGCCCGUAGCGGCCGGAAGCCGAUCCCGGAUGUCCUCUCCUGGGAGUCGGGUUGCUUGAGAGUGCAGCCCUAAUCGGGUGGUAAACUCCAUCUAAGGCUAAAUACGACCUCGAGACCGAUAGCGAACAAGUACCGUGAGGGAAAGUUGAAAAGGACUUUGAAGAGAGAGUUCACCAGUACGUGAAACCGCGAAGGCGCAGGCGGUCCGCAGCGAGUAGUUCGGUCACCCACUCGACCCGUCUUGAAACACGGACCAAGGA
RNAcentral lists this ribosomal RNA (460 nucleotides) under Holoscotolemon jaqueti. RNAcentral describes it as "eukaryotic LSU rRNA". It matches the Rfam family "Eukaryotic large subunit ribosomal RNA", at positions 31 to 672 of the family's 3401-position model. Lineage: Eukaryota; Metazoa; Arthropoda; Arachnida; Opiliones; Cladonychiidae. The record is from RNAcentral.